Molecule: antisense RNA, 69 nt
Filed under: Amycolatopsis tolypomycina
Lineage: Bacteria; Bacillati; Actinomycetota; Actinomycetes; Pseudonocardiales; Pseudonocardiaceae
Description: ASpks TB sRNA
Rfam family: ASpks TB sRNA
Source: RNAcentral
CUUCACCGACCCCAGCCACAGCGGCUCGUCGCGGUCCUGCCCGUAGGUCGCGAGCAGCGCCUGCGCCUC